Molecule: long non-coding RNA, 259 nt
Filed under: Elaeis guineensis (African oil palm)
Lineage: Eukaryota; Viridiplantae; Streptophyta; Magnoliopsida; Arecales; Arecaceae
Description: long non-coding RNA (EGUI_LNC079788)
Source: RNAcentral
CAGAGAUUCACAAGGAGAAAAUGAUCUAGAUCCUACUUGAGUGGAUACCGGUAGAGGCUAGGUGACUGCAUGGCUAUUUUUGAACCUCAGGCAUUGCUGCGAUCAUCUACAGGGUAAUCUAGUUACUCUAGAGGUAUUUCUCUAAUCCUCAAAUUUUAGAUUUAAUUUUAAAUUAAAUAUCAGAUAAUAAGAAUCAGAUCUAAUAUACCUUAGAUCUAAAAUAAAGUAGGAUAAAUUUUUAUUUAAAAUAUUCUGUCCC